This is a long non-coding RNA of Melospiza melodia melodia, 799 nucleotides long. RefSeq lists it as uncharacterized. The transcript has 3 exons. NCBI's taxonomy places the organism in Eukaryota, Metazoa, Chordata, Aves, Passeriformes, Passerellidae. The record is from RefSeq and is a predicted model, not a curated record.
AGAGGCUGGAGUUCACCCUGAAACCUGUUGGUAGGACGUGUGUUGACCCUGGGAGCAGAAGCUGAGGCCCUGGCAGGAGAGGCCCUUUGGGAGCUUGACAGAGCCUGGCCUGGUCCUGCAGGUAAAUGUUUGAUGUCCUUUUGACAAUUUUUCCCUCCUGGUUGUUUGGAAGAAUGAAAACAACAUAACCAGACACAAAGGGCAUAAAAAAUGAAUUGGAAGAUCCUUAACUGGAAGACAAACUACCCUGUCAUUCUAUCUGCACUGAGCAAGAUAAACACAGGAAAAGCCUUUCUAGAUUGAAGUGGCUGAAGACAGCUGAGUACUGAGAUUUCCCUUGACUCCGUGACUGAUCACAGCCAAGCACCUUUUAUAUGACAAAGAUAACUCUGGAGCCUAGCAGAUGGAGCUGCUAAGAAAUACAGAAAUUAUAUCAAGCCAGACUCUCAUCUGGGAUUAUCUGCAUGAGAAGUCCAUUUUGGAUACAGACAUCAUAUUUUCCAUUUAUAAACGUGGUCACAGAAGGUUAACAGUUUAUGCUGAAAUGAAAUGAAGCAGAUAUUUUUGCUCUUGUCACUAGGUGAGGUGGUGGAAUAAAUUAAAAUUUGCAACUCUGCUGGACAGAGCCCAAACAAAAGUCAAAAUGGAUAUAAAGGGGACAUGCAAAGGAAGUUAACAUCCAUAUUCAUGUUAGUAUAGGCAAUGUCAAGAAUCUUAAUGUGUGCAGUUUAUCUUUUGGAGCCCUUUGGACUUUGUAUAUUAGCAGGUGGGAUUUCUAUCACUCCAGUUUUGACUUUUA